Molecule: ribosomal RNA, 415 nt
Filed under: uncultured bacterium
Lineage: Bacteria
Description: bacterial SSU rRNA
Rfam family: Bacterial small subunit ribosomal RNA
Source: RNAcentral
UGGGGAAUCUUGCGCAAUGGGCGAAAGCCUGAUCCAGCAAUGCCGCGUGUGUGAAGAAGGCCUUCGGGUUGUAAAGCACUUUUAUCGGGAGCGCGGUACCCGAGGAAUAAGCACCGGCUAACUUCGUGCCAGCAGCCGCGGUAAUACGAAGGGUGCAAGCGUUAAUCGGAAUUACUGGGCGUAAAGGGUGCGUAGGCGGUUACCUAAGUCCGUUGUGAAAGCCCUGGGCUCAACCUGGGAAUUGCAGUGGAUACUGGGUGACUGGAGUACGGUAGAGGAUGGCGGAAUUCCCGGUGUAGCGGUGAAAUGCGUAGAUAUCGGAAGGAACACCAAUGGCGAAGGCAGCCGCCUGGGCCUGUACUGACACUGAGACACGAAAGCGUGGGGAUCAAACAGGAUUAGAUACCCGAGUAGU